Long non-coding RNA from Pistacia vera, 436 nucleotides. RefSeq lists it as uncharacterized. NCBI's taxonomy places the organism in Eukaryota, Viridiplantae, Streptophyta, Magnoliopsida, Sapindales, Anacardiaceae. The transcript has 3 exons. The record is from RefSeq and is a predicted model, not a curated record.
UCAUUCUGAUUAAAAAACAAAACCCAAUUCCAAUUCCAAUCCCAAAAUUUCCUUAGUCAAACAAACAAACAAGUCACUGCUUUUUAUAGCAACUUCACUUUGUAUUUUGAACUUCAUUUCUUCCAACAAUGGCUUCCACUUUAACCAUCACUCCUCCCAAACAAUUCUUCUGGCUUUCAUCUGUGUUUUCUGGCAUCAUUAUCUGCAAAAUUGUUUAUAAAUUAACUGGAAUGGUUAGCCAUAUGUGCUUCAAGGGAUAUGGGAAUCUCAGCAUUCCAAAAAAAGUUGAGUGGAAUAACAGGGGCUUUUCAACAUUUCAUGCUGUCAUGGUAGCAUUUGCUUCUCUUUACUUGUUACUGUUGUCUGAUCUUUUCAGUGAAGAUUAUAAUGAUGAGUUAAUCAUCAAUCGGACGUCUACGGUUUCGGAAACAUUACU